RNAcentral lists this ribosomal RNA (495 nucleotides) under uncultured bacterium. Its description in RNAcentral is "partial 16S ribosomal RNA". It matches the Rfam family "Bacterial small subunit ribosomal RNA", at positions 30 to 507 of the family's 1533-position model. The record is from RNAcentral.
UGACCGCUGGCGGCGUGCCUACUACAUGCACGUCGAGCGAACGGACGAGAAGCUUGCUUCUCUGAUGUUAGCGGCGGACGGGUGAGUAACACGUGGAUAACCUACCUAUAAGACUGGGAUAACUUCGGGAAACCGGAGCUAAUACCGGAUAAUAUUUUGAACCGCAUGGUUCAAAAGUGAAAGACGGUCUUGCUGUCACUUAUAGAUGGAUCCGCGCUGCAUUAGCUAGUUGGUAAGGUAACGGCUUACCAAGGCAACGAUGCAUAGCCGACCUGAGAGGGUGAUCGGCCACACGGGAACUGAGACACGGUCCAGACUCCUACGGGAGGCAGCAGUAGGGAAUCUUCCGCAAUGGGCGAAAGCCUGACGGAGCAACGCCGCGUGAGUGAUGAAGGUCUUCGGAUCGUAAAACUCUGUUAUUAGGGAAGAACAUAUGUGUAAGUAACUGUGCACAUCUUGACGGUACCUAAUCAGAAAGCCACGGCUAACUACGUG